CACCACGUGCGCGCUGAUUUUGACUUACCC
This 30-nucleotide non-coding RNA is filed under the name Mus musculus (house mouse). The record is from RNAcentral. Lineage: Eukaryota; Metazoa; Chordata; Mammalia; Rodentia; Muridae.